GCCCAAUGAUGAGACCAAGGCGAAUACGAGCCUCACUGAAUGAGAGCCGGGCGCCUCUCGCUGUGACUGGCAGGUAAUCUUGGCAGUGCAGGGGAGGAUUCCUGCACUGCUGUAAGGGCCUGCCGACACUGACUUGGCUCGUCCCAAAUGAUUCCUCUACAGUCACAGUGGAGUCACCACGGGACAGAGCUGACAGUUUUUGUUUGUUUGUUUGUUUGUGUUGUUUGUGUGUCUGUCUGUGUGUGUGAGUAUGUGUGUCAUUAGCACAGAGGUCACCCCGCUCUCGUUUCCCUUCAGUAGGCUGUGAUUUGUUUCUUUGGUAAUCUGAGGGUC
Small nucleolar RNA from Salarias fasciatus (jewelled blenny), 333 nucleotides. NCBI's taxonomy places the organism in Eukaryota, Metazoa, Chordata, Actinopteri, Blenniiformes, Blenniidae. The record is from Ensembl.